ACCUGCGGAGGGAUCAUUACCGAGUUUUCAACUCCCAAACCCUUAUGUGAACCUACCUAUCGUUGCUUCGGCGGACUCGCCCCAGCCGGACGCGGACUGGACCAGCGGCCGCCGGGGACCAUCAAACUCUUGUAUUAUCAGCAUCUUCUGAAUACGCCGCAAGGCAAAACAAAUAAAUUAAAACUUUCAACAACGGAUCUCUUGGCUCUGGCAUCGAUGAAGAACGCAGCGAAAUGCGAUAAGUAAUGUGAAUUGCAGAAUCCAGUGAAUCAUCGAAUCUUUGAACGCACAUUGCGCCCGCCAGCAUUCUGGCGGGCAUGCCUGUUCGAGCGUCAUUUCAACCCUCGACCUCCCUUUGGGGAAGUCGGCGUUGGGGACCGGCAGCACACCGCCGGCCCUGAAAUGGAGUGGCGGCCCGUCCGCGGCGACCUCUGCGUAGUAAACCAACUCGCACCGGAACCCCGACGUGGCCACGCCGUAAAACACCCAACUUCUGAACGUUGACCUCGAAUCAGGUAGGACUACCCGCUGAACUUAAGCAUAUC
RNAcentral lists this ribosomal RNA (545 nucleotides) under Beauveria bassiana. RNAcentral's name for it is "eukaryotic LSU rRNA". The stretch from base 182 to 335 matches the Rfam family "5.8S ribosomal RNA". Lineage: Eukaryota; Fungi; Ascomycota; Sordariomycetes; Hypocreales; Cordycipitaceae. The record is from RNAcentral.